ACUGUGAUUCCCUUAGUAACUGCGAGUGAAGCGGGAUAAGCCCAUCGUUUAAUCUUCCCGGACUGUGGACGGGACGACAUGUAACGGUAUGGAUAGGUUCUCUAUCAACUCUGGCUGGUCAAAGUCCUCCGGAUUGAGGUGCCAAAGAGGGUGACAGCCCCGUGUGUGACUGGACAGAGUUGAGUAUGUGGCCGAUUCCGAGAGUCGGGUUGUUUGGGACUGCAACCUAAAGCAGGUGGUAAACUCCACCCAAGGCUAAAUAUUGACACGAAACCGAUAGCGAAUAAGUACUGUGAAGGAAAGUUGAAAAGAACUCUGAAAAGAGAGUUAAAAGUACGUGAAACCGCUAACGGGGAAGCGGAAGGCAGUGUCGAGAUUGGGUGAGUGAGUUGUCUCAAGUGGAGCUUAAUUUAUUAGGUUUGCUUGGGGCGACUAGCUUUGCCUGAUGCGUCAGGACUAUUGGUGUGCGGUGGCUCAAUUGUCGGCAUGGCUUCCACGACACUCACGCACUUGUGUGUGGGCUCGUGGUUGCGGCAGGCAAUCCGCCUCGUGCGCUGAUAUGGAUGUGGUGAGGCGUUGGUGAUGUAGUGUCGGUUGGUGUUGUGUGGUGCUCCGCGUAGUCACAGUGUGGCUACGUGUGGAGAAGUCAUGUGAUAGUUCAACAACCAGUGCCAGUGCCUGACGUGAUACCUAACCUUC
Molecule: ribosomal RNA, 699 nt
Filed under: Kudoa thyrsites
Lineage: Eukaryota; Metazoa; Cnidaria; Myxozoa; Multivalvulida; Kudoidae
Description: eukaryotic LSU rRNA
Rfam family: Eukaryotic large subunit ribosomal RNA
Source: RNAcentral